CGCUGGCGGCAGGCCUAACACAUGCAAGUCGAGCGCGCCCUUCGGGGUGAGCGGCGGACGGGUUAGUAACGCGUGGGAACGUACCCUUUGGUAGGGAAUAGCCACUGGAAACGGUGAGUAAUACCCUAUGAGCCCUUCGGGGGAAAGAUUUAUCGCCAAAGGAUCGGCCCGCGUUAGAUUAGGUAGUUGGUGGGGUAAUGGCCUACCAAGCCUACGAUCUAUAGCUGGUUUUAGAGGAUGAUCAGCAACACUGGGACUGAGACACCGGCCCAGACUCCGUACGGGAGGCAGCAGGUGGGGAAUCUUGGAACAAGUGGGGGCAACCCUGAACUCCAGCCAUGCCGCGUGAGUGAAGAAGGCCUUAGGGUCGUAAAGCUCUUUCGCCUGUGAAGAUAAUGACGGUAGCAGGUAAAGAAACCCCGGCUAACUCCGUGCCAGCAGCCGC
Molecule: ribosomal RNA, 445 nt
Filed under: uncultured bacterium
Lineage: Bacteria
Description: bacterial SSU rRNA
Rfam family: Bacterial small subunit ribosomal RNA
Source: RNAcentral